GAUUCGGGGACGGUCUGAGCCUGAACUCUUUUAGAGCCAACAUUGGACACCCCAACAUUUCUGGCGUUCUUCACUUUGACCCUCUCCAACUCAAGGAUGCUUGUGUGAAGACUGGUGGCUUAAUAAGGAAGAAUUCUCAGUCAGUUUGGCUAUCCCGACAUCCCUUCUCCACAUCUAGGGACUCUGUUAGACUGUCUUUAGCACAAUUGGAAAAUACUAGGUUUCCAAGAACUGAAAAAGUAGCUCCUAAUAUUCCUUUGCUAUGGCCUGGUCUCAAUAUAACCUAGAGAACCAAAAAAAAAAAAAGUGAUCAUUUUGAGGUCUCUCAACUGUAACACUAUUCUGCAACUUGAUCUCUUUUGCAAAGAAAAAUGGACUGAAGUCCCAUCUUUUCACUUAAUGACAGCAAUGAAGAAUGUUUUUGUCAAGAUUUAAAUCAAAAAAAGGGGAGAGGUAAAAAUCAGACCUUUUAAAUGACCCUCUCCUCUAUGCUGCUGAAGUCUCAGAGGCUGGGUUCCCCAUUUGCAAACAAAUGCGGAGCAUGAUAAAGGGAGGAUUACUAGGAUUCAUGUUCCCUUUUCCAUGUCAGAUCUCCCCCAGUAAAAGAAAAACUCAGCAGCUACUCAGAAGAUCCCACCAAAUUUAUUGAGGGUUUUAAAGCCAUUGCUUUCCAAUUUGACCCAACUUAGGAGGACAUUAGUAUUAUUGUUUCCUCUUGCUGCCCUGUAGAAGAAAAGAGGAGAAUUUGGGGCCUAGCCCAGAGAUUUGGGGAUGACUUGACUGUGACCUCCCAAACCAGAAGGUGUUCUCUUGGGGCAAGUGCAGUCUCUUGUCUCUUACACUGGCUGGGACUGAGGGAAGUCCAGUCAGAGUUAAGAAAGACCACAAGUUGUCAUACCUUAUCUUUGGCAUGAAAAGGGACAUUGAGAAACAGAUAAACUAGAAGACUCGAGGGGAUUACUCAGGGAUCCUAGGAAAACCUUGCCAUCUUUCUGGGUUAGUUGAGGCACUCAAGAAAUAUACUGACUUGGAUCCCGCUUUCCCCAUAGGAGAUGUGAUUCUUGGCAUUCAUUUUAUCAGCCAAUCUCCUCCCUUCCACCCCCAUAUUCGGAGAAAGUUACCGAAGUUAACCAUGGGUCUCCAGACUCCUCAAGCUAAGCUUUUAAGAGACCUAUUUCAGGGUAUUUAUCAAUAGAAACCUAGGAAAAGGACUGCAAGGCUAGAGUCUUUAACAGAGAAUUUGCUGGAAUUUUAUCUGAUUACAUGUCUAGUGCCAAAAAGGGUCCUGCCCUCCAGAAUCCCUGGAAUACUUCUGUGGGCCCAUCAAGAUUGCUCUUCUGGAAGAAAAUAUCUGUAGAGACUUUGAAUGGACAUUUUUGCAACCCCAUAUGGAGUCUAAACUCACAAUUUGAGGCUUUGCCUUAAAGGAACUCGCCCCUCACAAGGGCCCUUUUAUAUUGGAGGACCCAGAAUAAAGUAUGGUAACUAUA
Long non-coding RNA from Antechinus flavipes (yellow-footed antechinus), 1490 nucleotides. RefSeq lists it as uncharacterized. The record is from RefSeq and is a predicted model, not a curated record. The transcript is spliced from 2 exons. NCBI's taxonomy places the organism in Eukaryota, Metazoa, Chordata, Mammalia, Dasyuromorphia, Dasyuridae.